This 497-nucleotide ribosomal RNA is filed under the name uncultured bacterium. RNAcentral's name for it is "partial 16S ribosomal RNA". It matches the Rfam family "Bacterial small subunit ribosomal RNA", at positions 28 to 507 of the family's 1533-position model. The record is from RNAcentral.
GAUGAACGCUGGCGGCGUGCCUAAUACAUGCAAGUCGAGCGAGCAGACGAGGAGCUUGCUCCUCUGACGUUAGCGGCGGACGGGUGAGUAACACGUGGAUAACCUACCUAUAAGACUGGGAUAACUUCGGGAAACCGGAGCUAAUACCGGAUAAUAUAUUGAACCGCAUGGUUCAAUAGUGAAAGACGGUUUUGCUGUCACUUAUAGAUGGAUCCGCGCCGCAUUAGCUAGUUGGUAAGGUAACGGCUUACCAAGGCAACGAUGCGUAGCCGACCUGAGAGGGUGGUCGGCCACACUGGAGCUGAGACACGGUCCAGACUCCUACGAGAGGCAGCAGUAGGGAAUCUUCCGCAAUAGUCGAAAGCCUGACGGAGCAACGCCGCGUGAGUGAUGAAGGUCUUCGGAUCGUAAAACCCUGUUAUUAGGGAAGAACAAAUGUGUAAGUAACUAUGGACGUCUUGACGGUACCUAAUCAGAAAGCCACGGCUAACUACGUG